CCUACGGGAGGCAGCAGUAAGGGAUAUUGGUCAAUGGGGGAAACCCUGAACCAGCAACGCCGCGUGAGGGAAGACGGUCUUCGGAUUUUAAACCUCUUUCCUCUGUGAAGAUGAUGACUGUACCAGAGCAGGAAGCUCCGGCUAACUACGUUCCAGCAGCCGCGGUAAUACGGAGGGCGAGAGCGGUGUCCGGAUUUACUGGGUGUAAAGGGGGCGUAGGUGGCUUGGUAAGUCAGUAGUGAAAUGGAUGGGCUUAACACAUGCACUGCUAUUGAAACUGUCGAGCUUGAGUGAAGUAGAGGUAGGCGGAAUGCCUGGUGUAGCGGUGAAAUGCGUAGAGAUCGGGAGGAACACCAGUGGCGAAGGCAGCAUACUGGGCUUUCACUGACGCUGAGGCACGAAAGCGUGGGUAGCAAACAGGAUUAGAUACCCGUGUAGUC
Molecule: ribosomal RNA, 440 nt
Filed under: uncultured bacterium
Lineage: Bacteria
Description: partial 16S ribosomal RNA
Rfam family: Bacterial small subunit ribosomal RNA
Source: RNAcentral